GCCUAUACAUGCAAGUCGAACGAACUCUGGUAUUGAUUGGUGCUUGCAUCAUGAUUUACAUUUGAGUGAGUGGCGAACUGGUGAGUAACACGUGGGAAACCUGCCCAGAAGCGGGGGAUAACACCUGGAAACAGAUGCUAAUACCGCAUAACAACUUGGACCGCAUGGUCCGAGUUUGAAAGAUGGCUUCGGCUAUCACUUUUGGAUGGUCCCGCGGCGUAUUAGCUAGAUGGUGGGGUAACGGCUCACCAUGGCAAUGAUACGUAGCCGACCUGAGAGGGUAAUCGGCCACAUUGGGACUGAGACACGGCCCAAACUCCUACGGGAGGCAGCAGUAGGGAAUCUUCCACAAUGGACGAAAGUCUGAUGGAGCAACGCCGCGUGAGUGAAGAAGGGUUUCGGCUCGUAAAACUCUGUUGUUAAAGAAGAACAUAUCUGAGAGUAACUGUUCAGGUAUUGACGGUAUUUAACCAGAAAGCCACGGCUAACUACGUGCCAGCAGCCGCGGUAAUACGUAGGUGGCAAGCGUUGUCCGGAUUUAUUGGGCGUAAAGCGAGCGCAGGCGGUUUUUUAAGUCUGAUGUGAAAGCCUUCGGCUCAACCGAAGAAGUGCAUCGGAAACUGGGAAACUUGAGUGCAGAAGAGGACAGUGGAACUCCAUGUGUAGCGGUGAAAUGCGUAGAUAUAUGGAAGAACACCAGUGGCGAAAGCGGCUGUCUGGUCUGUAACUGACGCUGAGGCUCGAAAGUAUGGGUAGCAAACAGGAUUAGAUACCCUGGUAGUCCAUACCGUAAACGAUGAAUGCUAAGUGUUGGAGGGUUUCCGCCCUUCAGUGCUGCAGCUAACGCAUUAAGCAUUCCGCCUGGGGAGUACGCG
RNAcentral lists this ribosomal RNA (875 nucleotides) under Lactiplantibacillus plantarum. RNAcentral's name for it is "bacterial SSU rRNA". It matches the Rfam family "Bacterial small subunit ribosomal RNA", at positions 46 to 886 of the family's 1533-position model. The record is from RNAcentral. Lineage: Bacteria; Bacillati; Bacillota; Bacilli; Lactobacillales; Lactobacillaceae.